RNAcentral lists this ribosomal RNA (253 nucleotides) under uncultured bacterium. RNAcentral's name for it is "partial 16S ribosomal RNA". It matches the Rfam family "Bacterial small subunit ribosomal RNA", at positions 524 to 776 of the family's 1533-position model. The record is from RNAcentral.
UACGUAGGGUGCAGGCGUUAAUCGGAAUUACUGGGCGUAAAGCGUACGCAGGCGGUUUGCUAAGUCAGGUGUGAAAUCUCCGGGCUUAACCCGGAGCGGCCAAGUGAUACUGUCGUGCUGGAGUGCGGAAGGGGCCACCGGAAUUCUCGGUGUAGCGGUGAAAUGCGUAGAUAUCGAGAGGAACACCUGCGGCGAAGGCGGGUGGCUGGGCCGACACUGACGCUGAGGCGCGAAAGCCAGGGGAGCGAACGGG